This 1271-nucleotide ribosomal RNA is filed under the name Klebsiella pneumoniae. Its description in RNAcentral is "bacterial SSU rRNA". It matches the Rfam family "Bacterial small subunit ribosomal RNA", at positions 1 to 1260 of the family's 1533-position model. The record is from RNAcentral. Lineage: Bacteria; Pseudomonadati; Pseudomonadota; Gammaproteobacteria; Enterobacterales; Enterobacteriaceae.
ACUUAAAUUGAAGAGUUUGAUCAUGGCUCAGAUUGAACGCUGGCGGCAGGCCUAACACAUGCAAGUCGAGCGGUAGCACAGAGAGCUUGCUCUCGGGUGACGAGCGGCGGACGGGUGAGUAAUGUCUGGGAAACUGCCUGAUGGAGGGGGAUAACUACUGGAAACGGUAGCUAAUACCGCAUAACGUCGCAAGACCAAAGUGGGGGACCUUCGGGCCUCAUGCCAUCAGAUGUGCCCAGAUGGGAUUAGCUAGUAGGUGGGGUAACGGCUCACCUAGGCGACGAUCCCUAGCUGGUCUGAGAGGAUGACCAGCCACACUGGAACUGAGACACGGUCCAGACUCCUACGGGAGGCAGCAGUGGGGAAUAUUGCACAAUGGGCGCAAGCCUGAUGCAGCCAUGCCGCGUGUGUGAAGAAGGCCUUCGGGUUGUAAAGCACUUUCAGCGGGGAGGAAGGCGAUAAGGUUAAUAACCUUGGCGAUUGACGUUACCCGCAGAAGAAGCACCGGCUAACUCCGUGCCAGCAGCCGCGGUAAUACGGAGGGUGCAAGCGUUAAUCGGAAUUACUGGGCGUAAAGCGCACGCAGGCGGUCUGUCAAGUCGGAUGUGAAAUCCCCGGGCUCAACCUGGGAACUGCAUUCGAAACUGGCAGGCUAGAGUCUUGUAGAGGGGGGUAGAAUUCCAGGUGUAGCGGUGAAAUGCGUAGAGAUCUGGAGGAAUACCGGUGGCGAAGGCGGCCCCCUGGACAAAGACUGACGCUCAGGUGCGAAAGCGUGGGGAGCAAACAGGAUUAGAUACCCUGGUAGUCCACGCCGUAAACGAUGUCGAUUUGGAGGUUGUGCCCUUGAGGCGUGGCUUCCGGAGCUAACGCGUUAAAUCGACCGCCUGGGGAGUACGGCCGCAAGGUUAAAACUCAAAUGAAUUGACGGGGGCCCGCACAAGCGGUGGAGCAUGUGGUUUAAUUCGAUGCAACGCGAAGAACCUUACCUGGUCUUGACAUCCACAGAACUUUCCAGAGAUGGAUUGGUGCCUUCGGGAACUGUGAGACAGGUGCUGCAUGGCUGUCGUCAGCUCGUGUUGUGAAAUGUUGGGUUAAGUCCCGCAACGAGCGCAACCCUUAUCCUUUGUUGCCAGCGGUUAGGCCGGGAACUCAAAGGAGACUGCCAGUGAUAAACUGGAGGAAGGUGGGGAUGACGUCAAGUCAUCAUGGCCCUUACGACCAGGGCUACACACGUGCUACAAUGGCAUAUACAAAGAGAAGCGACCUCGCGA